RNAcentral lists this transfer RNA (72 nucleotides) under Isopachys gyldenstolpei. RNAcentral's name for it is "tRNA-Ile". It matches the Rfam family "tRNA". From Rfam's summary of the family: Transfer RNA (tRNA) molecules are approximately 80 nucleotides in length. Their secondary structure includes four short double-helical elements and three loops (D, anti-codon, and T loops). Further hydrogen bonds mediate the characteristic L-shaped molecular structure. tRNAs have two regions of fundamental functional importance: the anti-codon, which is responsible for specific mRNA codon recognition, and the 3' end, to which the tRNAs corresponding amino acid is attached (by aminoacyl-tRNA synthetases). tRNAs cope with the degeneracy of the genetic code in two manners: having more than one tRNA (with a specific anti-codon) for a particular amino acid; and 'wobble' base-pairing, i.e. permitting non-standard base-pairing at the 3rd anti-codon position. Lineage: Eukaryota; Metazoa; Chordata; Lepidosauria; Squamata; Scincidae. The record is from RNAcentral.
GGAAAUGUGCCCGAACUUUUAAGGGCCACUUUGAUAGAGUAAAACACAGAGGUUAAAAUCCUCUCAUUUCCC